CCUACGGGGUGCUGCAGUGAGGAAUAUUGGUCAAUGGGCGCGAGCCUGAACCAGCCAAGUAGCGUGAAGGAUGACUGCCCUACGGGUUGUAAACUUCUUUUAUAAAGGAAUAAAGUGAGUCACGUGUGCCUUUUUGUAUGUACUUUAUGAAUAAGGAUCGGCUAACGCCGUGCCAGCAGCCGCGGUAAUACGGAGGAUCCGAGCGUUAUCCGGAUUUAUUGGGUUUAAAGGGAGCGUAGAUGGGUUGUUAAGUCAGUUGUGAAAGUUUGCGGCUCAACCGGAAAAUUGCAAUUGAUACUGGCAGACUUGAGGACAGGUGAGGUAGGCGGAAUUCGUGGUGUAGCGGUGAAAUGCGUAGAUAUCACGAAGAACUCCGAUUGCGAAGGCAGCUUACUAAACUGCCACUGACAUUGAUGCGCGAAAGUGUGGGUAUCAAACAGGAUUAGAUACCCGGGUAGUC
Molecule: ribosomal RNA, 460 nt
Filed under: uncultured bacterium
Lineage: Bacteria
Description: partial 16S ribosomal RNA
Rfam family: Bacterial small subunit ribosomal RNA
Source: RNAcentral